RNAcentral lists this ribosomal RNA (253 nucleotides) under uncultured bacterium. RNAcentral describes it as "partial 16S ribosomal RNA". It matches the Rfam family "Bacterial small subunit ribosomal RNA", at positions 524 to 776 of the family's 1533-position model. The record is from RNAcentral.
GACGUAGGGCGCGAGCGUUGUCCGGAUUUAUUGGGCGUAAAGCGCGCGUAGGCGGCCUCGUAAGUCCGUUGUGAAAGUCAAAGGCUCAACCUUUGAAAGCCGAUGGAUACUGUGAGGCUAGAGUCCGGAAGAGGCGAGUGGAAUUCCUGGUGUAGCGGUGGAAUGCGCAGAUAUCAGGAGGAACACCAAUAGCGAAGGCAGCUCGCUGGGACGGUACUGACGCUAAGGCGCGAAAGCGUGGGGAGCGAACAGG